This 232-nucleotide unclassified non-coding RNA is filed under the name Hevea brasiliensis (rubber tree). The record is from RNAcentral. Lineage: Eukaryota; Viridiplantae; Streptophyta; Magnoliopsida; Malpighiales; Euphorbiaceae.
UAAUUGAGAACGGAGGAAACCCUGCACACAUUCAGUUAAAAUUGAAGCAUCAAACAGAAAUAAGCUGGCCUUUACCACUUGUGCUAAGAAAAUGAAAACAAGACCUAUUUUAAGAAGAUAUGAACAAUUAUAAUUUCUACCCAUUGUAUUUUCCUUUUCUUUUUCCUCUCUUAUAUCUAAGACAAGUCACUUUUCUCCUUAGGUGUUAUAUUAGGAUGCAACUAAUAUAAAA